GCUGGCGGCGUGCUUAACACAUGCAAGUCGAACGCGAAAGGGGCAACCCCCGGUAGCGUGGCAGACGGGUGAGUAACACGUGGGCAACCUACCCGGAGGUGGGGAACAACCCUUCGAAAGGGGGGCUAAUUCCGCAUGACAUCACGGGGUCUACGGAUCCUGUGAUCAAAGCUGGCCUCUGCUUGCAAGCUAGUGCCACCGGAGGGGCCCGCGGCCCAUUAGCUAGUUGGUGAGGUAAAGGCUCACCAAGGCUACGAUGGGUAGCCGGCCUGAGAGGGCGAUCGGCCACACUGGAACUGAGACACGGUCCAGACUCCUACGGGAGGCAGCAGUGAGGAAUCUUGCGCAAUGGGCGAAAGCCUGACGCAGCGACGCCGCGUGGAGGAUGAAGGUCUUCGGGUCGUAAACUCCUGUCGAGCGGGACGAAUCCCGGAAGGGCGAAUAGCGCUUUCGGUUGACGGUACCGCUGGAGGAAGCCCCGGCUAACUCCGUGCCAGCAGCCGCGGUAAUACGGAGGGGGCUAGCGUUGUUCGGAAUUAUUGGGCGUAAAGGGCGCGUAGGCGGCUUGGCAAGUCGGAUGUGAAAUCCCCCGGCUCAACCGGGGAACUGCAUCCGAAACUGCCUGGCUUGAGUCCUGGAGAAGGCAGCGGAAUUCCCAGUGUAGCGGUGAAAUGCGUAGAUACUGGGAAGAACACCCGUGGCGAAA
RNAcentral lists this ribosomal RNA (706 nucleotides) under uncultured Acidobacteriota bacterium. RNAcentral's name for it is "bacterial SSU rRNA". It matches the Rfam family "Bacterial small subunit ribosomal RNA", at positions 35 to 720 of the family's 1533-position model. The record is from RNAcentral. Lineage: Bacteria; Pseudomonadati; Acidobacteriota.